This 370-nucleotide ribosomal RNA is filed under the name uncultured Glomeromycotina. Its description in RNAcentral is "eukaryotic LSU rRNA". The record is from RNAcentral. Lineage: Eukaryota; Fungi; Glomeromycota.
GAAAGGGAAACGAUUGAAGUCAGUCGUACCUGCGGGUAAUCAGCCUUUUGGGCAUGAUUCUGUGGAGCGUGAGGAGUUAAACGCCUUCAUGCCUGCAUAUUCGUGUACUUUGGGUGUACUUGCCUGUGUGGUUAGUUAACAUCAAUUUUGGUUAUCAUAAAAUGGCUGGAGGAAUGUAGCUUCGAUUUCGAUCGAAGUGUUAUAGCCUUUGGCAGAUGUGAUGACCGGGAUUGAGGAUUGCAACGGAUACCCUUCGGGGCUACCUGUCUGAUCUCUGAUCGUUGCUCUGGUGCCGAAAGCUUGCUUACGGUUAUCAAAGUCGAUGGUCAACAGGUUAGAACGGGUUAAAUUCGUUAAGGAUGUUGACGUA